RNAcentral lists this transfer RNA (90 nucleotides) under Gammaproteobacteria bacterium. Its description in RNAcentral is "tRNA-Ser". It matches the Rfam family "tRNA". From Rfam's summary of the family: Transfer RNA (tRNA) molecules are approximately 80 nucleotides in length. Their secondary structure includes four short double-helical elements and three loops (D, anti-codon, and T loops). Further hydrogen bonds mediate the characteristic L-shaped molecular structure. tRNAs have two regions of fundamental functional importance: the anti-codon, which is responsible for specific mRNA codon recognition, and the 3' end, to which the tRNAs corresponding amino acid is attached (by aminoacyl-tRNA synthetases). tRNAs cope with the degeneracy of the genetic code in two manners: having more than one tRNA (with a specific anti-codon) for a particular amino acid; and 'wobble' base-pairing, i.e. permitting non-standard base-pairing at the 3rd anti-codon position. RNAcentral also lists the same sequence under 2 other names. Lineage: Bacteria; Pseudomonadati; Pseudomonadota; Gammaproteobacteria. The record is from RNAcentral.
GGAGAGGUGGCAGAGCGGUCGAAUGCGGCGGUCUUGAAAACCGUUGACGGGUUAAACCGUCCGGGGGUUCGAAUCCCUCCCUCUCCGCCA